CCUACGGGUGGCAACAGUGGGGAAUAUUGCACAAUGGGGGAAACCCUGAUGCAGCGACGCCGCGUGAGUGAGGAAGUAUUUCGGUAUGUAAAGCUCUAUCAGCAGGGAAGAAAAUGACGGUACCUGACCAAGAAGCCCCGGCCAACUACGUGCCAGCAGCCGCGGUAAUACGUAGGGGGCCAGAGUUAUCCGGAUUUACUGGGUGUAAAGGGAGCGUAGAGGGGUAAUCAAGUCAGAAGUGAAAACCCAGGGCUCAACCUUGGGAGUGCUUUUGAAACCGAGUAGCUAGAGGGCAGGAGUGGUAAGCGGAAUUCCGAGUGUAGCGGUGAAAUGCGUAGAUAUUAGGAGGAACACCAGUGGCGAAGGCGGCUUACUGGACUGUAACUGACGUUGAGGCUCGAAAGCGUGGGGAGCAAACAGGAUUAGAUACCCGAGUAGUC
RNAcentral lists this ribosomal RNA (440 nucleotides) under uncultured bacterium. RNAcentral describes it as "partial 16S ribosomal RNA". It matches the Rfam family "Bacterial small subunit ribosomal RNA", at positions 338 to 795 of the family's 1533-position model. The record is from RNAcentral.